GCGGGACCGGCCGGAGCUGGGACCCCAGGAGACGAGCGCUGCACCCGGCCGGGACGCGUCGCCCCUCCGCGCCUGUUUAUCCCGGCUCGGAUUACCGCGCAGGGAGCCGCCCCCUCCCGCGGUCCGCGAGGACUGGCCGGGAGCUCGCUCGCCAUUGUCCUGGGCGUCCCAAAGCGGGCGGUCCCCGCUCCGCUGCUCCCGCGCCUGGAGGAAGCCUUCCCAACCCCGCCCCUCAGCGUCGGCCGGCGGAGGUCUUCGGAAAUCUCAUGCAGGGGGGUAGGGAGAGGGGUCCCACGGUGCAUUCGCAUGUCUCCUGCCCCGUGUUAAUGCUGGUGACCGGCUAGGAAGAUGCCGCCUCCCUCUCACGUGCGUCUAUUCAAAGCGCUCCCAACUCUAUACAUGCUGUUUAAGGCUCCUUGUAGCCCUAAAGUUAGGAGAACAUCGACUGAGGAUAAGAUCAAGACAUCCAGCCUCUGUCUGUAUCGUGGAAACGGGACCCCGGAAACUUUGGAAAGGCCUGAGUGCCAAGAGAGUCAACGCAGGCGAAAGCGAACCGGGCCAGGCAGAACCGGGAGCUCCUGUUGAUAAAAACACACACAACAGUGGGAAGCUUGGGCCGGCGGAAGACGUCAUUCCAUUGCUUAAUUACAGACAUUUGUGUUUUAAACCUUCUAUUUUCUUUGUGGGUCUGGUGUUUUUUUUCCUGAGAGAGUGGACUGAU
RNAcentral lists this long non-coding RNA (721 nucleotides) under Homo sapiens (human). RNAcentral describes it as "HSALNT0245383". The record is from RNAcentral. Lineage: Eukaryota; Metazoa; Chordata; Mammalia; Primates; Hominidae.